NCUGGCGGCCGUAGCGCGGUGGUCCCACCUGACCCCAUGCCGAACUCAGAAGUGAAACGCCGUAGCGCCGAUGGUAGUGUGGGGUUUCCCCAUGCGAGAGUAGGGAACUGCCAGGC
This 116-nucleotide ribosomal RNA is filed under the name Escherichia coli. The record is from RNAcentral. Lineage: Bacteria; Pseudomonadati; Pseudomonadota; Gammaproteobacteria; Enterobacterales; Enterobacteriaceae.